CUUUUUACUUUUUGCAAGCUUGUGUAAGAGCGAAUCCGUGUGUCUCAGGCAAUGGACCAGGAUUAGAUACCCUGUUACUCUGAGUGUAAAGAAUAAAUAGAGAAGAUAUUUUGCUGGGCGACUACGUUAUAACUAGUAAAAGUCGAAGUACUUGGCGGUCUAAAAUAAUCAGCCCGUGAGACUUGACGGUUAAACCGAUGAUCCGCGUGAUAUCUUACUUACCUUUGAAAAAUCAGCUGGUGUAAGGUCGUAGUCAGUUUAUGUUGUGAAGGUAUAGGCAAGCAUUCUUUGUCGGAAUUAAUUCAGAUCGUUUUGCUGCCUAUGGGUAAGGCUUAGUUGAGUCACAUUGAUAAGAAUUAAACUAAAAGUCUCUAAGAAAAGAGGGCUGGAGGAAGGAAUGGGUAGUAGUGCGGAAGUAGUGCGUCUUCGCGAAUAGUAAAUUUUUAGGUGUACAAAUCGCCCGUCGUCCCCGGGUUGAACUUGGGGU
This 487-nucleotide ribosomal RNA is filed under the name Barbatia trapezina. Its description in RNAcentral is "partial small subunit ribosomal RNA". Lineage: Eukaryota; Metazoa; Mollusca; Bivalvia; Arcoida; Arcidae. The record is from RNAcentral.